GCGUCCCUAACACAUGCAAGUCGAGCGGUAACAGGUGUAGCAAUACAUGCUGACGAGCUGUCGCACGGGUGAGUAACGCUUGGGAAUCUGCCUGUUAGUGGGGGACAACCCGGGGAAACUCGGGCUAAUACCGCAUACGCACUAUGGUGGAAAGCCGGGGACCGCAAGGCCUGGCGCUUACAGAUGAGCCCAAGUCGGAUUAGCUAGUUGGUAGGGUAACGGCCUACCAAGGCGACGAUCCGUAGCUGGUCUGAGAGGAUGGCCAGCCAGACUGGGACUGAGACACGGUCCAGACUCCUACGGGAGGCAGCAGUGGG
This 317-nucleotide small RNA is filed under the name uncultured bacterium. Its description in RNAcentral is "bacterial SSU rRNA". It matches the Rfam family "Bacterial small subunit ribosomal RNA", at positions 42 to 358 of the family's 1533-position model. The record is from RNAcentral.